This 253-nucleotide ribosomal RNA is filed under the name uncultured bacterium. Its description in RNAcentral is "partial 16S ribosomal RNA". It matches the Rfam family "Bacterial small subunit ribosomal RNA", at positions 57 to 305 of the family's 1533-position model. The record is from RNAcentral.
GCAAGUCGAGGGGUAACAGGAAGAAGCUUGCUUUUUCGCUGACGACCGGCGCACGGGUGCGUAACGCGUAUACAAUCUACCUUUUGCUGAGGGAUAGCCCAGAGAAAUUUGGAUUAAUACCUCAUGGUAUGCAGAGUUCGCAUGGACACUGCAUUAAAGGCUACGGCAAAAGAUGAGUAUGCGUUCUAUUAGCUAGAUGGUAAGGUAACGGCUUACCAUGGCGACGAUAGAUAGGGGCCCUGAGAGGGGGAUC